Molecule: non-coding RNA, 144 nt
Organism: Nicotiana sylvestris (wood tobacco)
Lineage: Eukaryota; Viridiplantae; Streptophyta; Magnoliopsida; Solanales; Solanaceae
Source: Rfam
AAGAGAAGAGCAUGUCAAGAUAGCCAAGGAGACUGCCUGAAACCAAGCAAAAAAAGGCCACCAAUAUUAAAUGGUCAAACGCCUUUUAAAAAUAAUGGAGCAGGCAAGUCAUCCUUGGCUACUAAACAAAUAUGACUCUCCUCU